RNAcentral lists this ribosomal RNA (253 nucleotides) under uncultured bacterium. RNAcentral describes it as "partial 16S ribosomal RNA". It matches the Rfam family "Bacterial small subunit ribosomal RNA", at positions 524 to 776 of the family's 1533-position model. The record is from RNAcentral.
UACGUAGAGUGCAGGCGUUAAUCGGAAUUACUGGGCGUAAAGCGUGCGCAGGCGGUCUUUUAAGUCAGAUGUGAAAUCCCCGGGCUUAACCUGGGAACUGCGUUUGAAACUGGAAGGCUAGAGUGUGGCAGAGGGGGGUGGAAUUCCACGUGUAGCAGUGAAAUGCGUAGAGAUGUGGAGGAACACCGAUGGCGAAGGCAGCCCCCUGGGCUAACACUGACGCUCAUGCACGAAAGCGUGGGGAGCAAACAGG